RNAcentral lists this long non-coding RNA (269 nucleotides) under Anser brachyrhynchus (Pink-footed goose). Its description in RNAcentral is "lncRNA (ENSABRG00000014435.1)". The record is from RNAcentral. Lineage: Eukaryota; Metazoa; Chordata; Aves; Anseriformes; Anatidae.
AGAAAGUAGGCUAUAUGUGUGGCUGCAGCAUCAAUAUUUAAAAAAUGCUUCUGAUGUUGGUCUGGGAAACUGUUUUCAAGGUCAUGCAAAGUGUAAAUGCAAUCCACUCUCCACAUGAUUACACUGGCCUUGUAACCUGUUACAAAAUCAGCUACAGUACCUUCCAGGCAUAAUGGCUACCGGUUGCGCUUUUUUAACAAACCAAACUUUUAAAAUGUCCAGGCUAACUCCAAAAUAUUUUACUUUGAUUUGUAAAUUAACAACAAAAC